CACGACCUAAUGCAUUAAUGGAAGUACAAAUGCCAGUGAUUAAGAACGCCGAAUGCAAAAUAGCUUAUUCCAAAUUUCCUAAUGCACCUGAUAUCACUGAUGGUAUAAUAUGCGCCGAACAUGCUCAGGGUGGAGAGGAUUCUUGUACGGCUGACCGCGGCGGACCACUGCUGAUACAACAUGAAUUAACCUCGUAUUUAAUAGGUAUUGUGUCUUAUGCUUAUAAGUGCGGCACAGCUGGGUAUCCCAGCGUUUACACUAGGGUCACAUCGUACCUUGACUUCAUUCUCCAAGCGAUGCAAUAAUAUGAUAUUACUGUUCCAUAAAUAUCAUUGUGUAAAAAACGUAAAGUUGGAUUUUCUUAUUGUGGAGAUAAGAAACAGCUCAAAUUUACAUUGUUUUGUACGUUACAAAUUAUAGGCUUAAAAUGUACGAAAUGUAACUUUGAAACGACACUAAUUUUUUACGCACGAUAAACCUCCACGACUUAGGAAAACAGUGCAGGAUGCUGUGAUUCGUUUCUUGUGGUCGGAGGUUAUGUUUGAUGCCUAUAUUUAUCAAAGAUUUAAUGCACAUUAUGGAGAAAGUGUUUUGUCACGAAGUGUGUUUGAAUGGGCACAAAAGUUCAAAGAAGAUCGCACGAGUGUUAUGAAAAAACAGCUGGACGCCCGUCCACAUCCACGAUGACAACAUUGAACGUGCUCAUGAACUUAUGCUCUAUGGAAUAGACGAGUGACACUGGAUAAUGUGGCAAAUCAUUUGCAAAUCAGCCACGGCUCUGCUUAUGCAAUAGUGCACGACAGAUUUGGAUUUUAAAAAGUUUGUGCGAGAUGGAUGCCGAAAAAGCUGAUGAAAAGGUGAAGACGACGAUGCAUUCGUGGUUCGCAGCUCAGCCCAAAACAUUUUUUAAUGAGAAAAUAUAAAGGUCCUUCGGCAAAUGGACAAAGUGUAUACAGAAAUCGAGUGAUUAUGUCAAAAAAUGAUGUAUGUCUUUUUUGACAAUUGCUUAAAAUAAAUUCUACACCGACAGAGCGGGCUGUUAAUCUAGAGGCUGGAGUACAAAGAAGUGGCACAAUGAUGUGGGCUGAUGACAUUUAUAAUUAUCAAGGAAUCACCCCUACAUUCGCUCAGAAUUUUAAUGAAACUGUCCCUUGGGAAGGAAGAACUGAUACCUUGAUAUCACGGUUUGUACAUCCUAUAUAUACGACAAAUUUUAGAACAUUAUAUAACGAAGAACCAGAUCGUCGUGGCCAUGUGAUGUGAAUAAAAGGACUUGAAUUUGAUGAUAUUUUUAUAAUGUUAGAUAACAUAACUAAGUAUCUUCACAGUAAGAUAGGAUGACAUGGUUUACAUGAUCUUAAUGUUGUUCACUCGAGUGAUGAUAUUAUAAGGAAAAGUGUAAUAUCACAGGAUAUUUAUGUUUAGUAACCAGUAAUUCAGAGAUUGGUAUUCAUGGUUACUAUAACGAGGCUGUAGAAACGCACCCUUUCUUCUUUGCAAAUGGUCCUGUAUUUAUGUCUAAGCCGAAACUGGAACCUCUGAAUAAUUUAGAUUUAUUCUUGUUAUUUUCUAAAAUACUUAUCUACAGUAUACCAUAAGGAAUGAUACCGUAUCGCACCUAAUCAAGUGCCUUAAGAAACAUCAACAGGAUAUCACAGUAAUCCCUUAUCGACUGAUAUUUGUAGCCACUACAAUAUCUAUGACACUGGUAGUAAUUAUAAGAACAAUAAUGAUGUUCUAUAAGAGGAAAUGAUGAUUAGGAACAAAAACUUACAGGAGAUAUCAUGCGGUGGAUGGAUAAUAUGUAAAAAAUAUUAAGCAGUAUAUGAAUUUUCAUAUUGCGUAGAGAUAACAAAAUGAAUUUUAAAAAAUGUCGACAUGGUAAUAAGAAAUAGCAUCAUGACAAAGAAUAUAUAAACACAGUUUCAUUUUUUAUAAAUAAAAAUUUGUUGUUCCAGAUUUUGAAAUAUAGUGAAACGUUUAAUUAGUAUCUUAAUAUCUUUAAAUAAUUAUUAUUUUAGAAUCAAUUGUAAUUGUAUCAUACGUACUUUUGAAUUCGUGCAAGAACAUAUGUUAUUUUGAAGUAGUUAUUAUUAGGAAAUUGUUAGACGCGAACAGUAUGCGAAAAGUUAGUAUGUAGUGUAAUAAUUAUCAAUCAAAGCACAAGAAUUAAAUUCUUUAGGAAAAAAUUUCCGGAAUUUCUUAUUUACAUGAUUAUAAAGAAAUCCAUAACAAAAAGGAGCUGCUUUCUAAUACUUCUCUUCCUUGUAAUGCCUACGUUAACAAUAACGAGGUUCGACUUUUUGUUUUUAGAGGGAUACUGGAAAAUUUGAAAGUACAGUACCAUUGGGAAGAAAAUCACGAUAUUGAAAACGAUAUUUGCAAAUUGAACAAUAUUCC
Bombus huntii is the source of this 2400-nucleotide long non-coding RNA. RefSeq lists it as uncharacterized. The record is from RefSeq and is a predicted model, not a curated record. Lineage: Eukaryota; Metazoa; Arthropoda; Insecta; Hymenoptera; Apidae. The transcript has 9 exons.